RNAcentral lists this ribosomal RNA (471 nucleotides) under uncultured bacterium. RNAcentral describes it as "SSU rRNA". It matches the Rfam family "Bacterial small subunit ribosomal RNA", at positions 26 to 518 of the family's 1533-position model. The record is from RNAcentral.
AGGAUAAACGCUGGCGGCGUGCCUAACACAUGCAAGUCGAACGCGCUUUUUUCGCAAGAGGAGAGCGAGUGGCGGACGGGUGAGUAACACAUGGGUACCUACCUUGGAGUGAGGGAUACCGGCGAGAAAUCGCCGACAAUACCGCAUACGCUUCUCUUCACCGGGAAGCAAAGUUGCGCAAGCGACGCUCUGAGAUGGGCCUGUGGCCGAUUAGCUAGUUGGUGGGGUAACGGCCUACCAAGGCGACGAUCGGUAGCUGGUCUGAGAGGACGAUCAGCCACACUGGGAUUGAGAACGGCCCAGACUCCUACGGGGGGCAGCAGUGAGGAAUUUUCCGCAAUGGACGCAAGUCUGACGGAGCAACGCCGCGUGCAGGAUGAAGGUUUUCGGAUCGUAAACUGUCUUUUCGUCGGGGACGAGCAAGGACGGUACCCGAGGAAGAGCCCCGGCUAACUACGUGCCAGCAGCCGC